This is a non-coding RNA of Xylaria digitata, 94 nucleotides long. Lineage: Eukaryota; Fungi; Ascomycota; Sordariomycetes; Xylariales; Xylariaceae. The record is from the annotation of a GenBank genome assembly.
GGGCGAAUGGUCUAGGGGUAUGAUACUCCCUUCGCAUGCUUGAAUCUCUAUAGCAGCCUGGGAGGGGUCCGGGGUUCAAUUCCCCGUUCGUCCA